UGGGGAAUUGUUCGCAAUGGGCGCAAGCCUGACGACGCAACGCCGCGUGGAGGACGAAGAUCUUCGGGUCGUAAACUCCUUUCGAUCAGGAAGAACGGCUUCCGGCCAAACAUGCCGGGAGAGUGACGGUACCGAGAGAAGAAGCCCCGGCUAACUCCGUGCCAGCAGCCGCGGUAAUACGGGGGGGGCAAGCGUUGUUCGGAAUUACUGGGCGUAAAGGGCUCGUAGGCGGCCAACUAAGUCGGAUGUGAAAUCCCCAGGCUUAACUUGGGAACUGCGUCCGAUACUGGAUGGCUUGAAUCCGGGAGAGGGAUGCGGAAUUCCAGGUGUAGCGGUGAAAUGCGUAGAUAUCUGGAGGAACACCGGUGGCGAAGGCGGCAUCCUGGACCGGUAUUGACGCUGGGUGUAGCGAAAGCCAGGGGAGCAAACGGGAUUAGAUACCCCGGUAGUCCUGGCCCUAAACGAUGAAUGCUUGGUGUGACGGGUAUCGAUCCCUGUCGUGCCGAAGCUAACGCAUUAAGCAUUCCACCUGGGGAGUACGGUCGCAAGGCUGA
This 554-nucleotide ribosomal RNA is filed under the name uncultured Acidobacteriota bacterium. RNAcentral describes it as "bacterial SSU rRNA". It matches the Rfam family "Bacterial small subunit ribosomal RNA", at positions 355 to 897 of the family's 1533-position model. Lineage: Bacteria; Pseudomonadati; Acidobacteriota. The record is from RNAcentral.